Molecule: transfer RNA, 72 nt
Filed under: Nannocystaceae bacterium
Lineage: Bacteria; Pseudomonadati; Myxococcota; Nannocystales; Nannocystaceae
Description: tRNA-Thr
Rfam family: tRNA
About the family: Transfer RNA (tRNA) molecules are approximately 80 nucleotides in length. Their secondary structure includes four short double-helical elements and three loops (D, anti-codon, and T loops). Further hydrogen bonds mediate the characteristic L-shaped molecular structure. tRNAs have two regions of fundamental functional importance: the anti-codon, which is responsible for specific mRNA codon recognition, and the 3' end, to which the tRNAs corresponding amino acid is attached (by aminoacyl-tRNA synthetases). tRNAs cope with the degeneracy of the genetic code in two manners: having more than one tRNA (with a specific anti-codon) for a particular amino acid; and 'wobble' base-pairing, i.e. permitting non-standard base-pairing at the 3rd anti-codon position.
Source: RNAcentral
GCUGGCGUAGCUCAACGGUAGAGCACCUGUUUUGUAAACAGGACGUUGGAGGUUCGAUUCCUCUCGCCAGCU